Molecule: ribosomal RNA, 156 nt
Filed under: uncultured bacterium
Lineage: Bacteria
Description: partial 16S ribosomal RNA
Rfam family: Bacterial small subunit ribosomal RNA
Source: RNAcentral
GAGGAAUAUUGGUCAAUGGGCGAGAGCCUGAACCAGCCAAGUAGCGUGAAGGAUGACUGCCCUAUGGGUUGUAAACUUCUUUUAUAAAGGAAUAAAGUCGGGUAUGGAUACCCGUUUGCAUGUACUUUAUGAAUAAGGAUCGGCUAACUCCGUGCC